GGGCCCGCACAAGCGGUGGAGCAUGUGGUUUAAUUCGAUGAUACGCGAGGAACCUUACCAGGGCUUAAAUGUAGUAUGACCGGCUUGGAAACAGGCCUUCUCUUCGGAGCAGAUUACAAGGUGCUGCAUGGUUGUCGUCAGCUCGUGCCGUGAGGUGUUAGGUUAAGUCCUGCAACGAGCGCAACCCCUAUUCUUAGUUGCCAGCGGUUCGGCCGGGGACUCUAAGAAGACUGCCAGCGCAAGCUGAGAGGAAGGUGGGGAUGACGUCAAAUCAUCACGGCCCUUACGUCCUGGGCUACACACGUGCUACAAUGGUAAGGACAAAGGGCAGCGAGCCGGCGACGGUUAGCGAAUCCCAAAAACCUUAUCUCAGUUCGGAUUGGAGUCUGCAACUCGACUCCAUGAAGCUGGAAUCGCUAGUAAUCG
RNAcentral lists this ribosomal RNA (426 nucleotides) under uncultured bacterium. RNAcentral describes it as "bacterial SSU rRNA". It matches the Rfam family "Bacterial small subunit ribosomal RNA", at positions 917 to 1344 of the family's 1533-position model. The record is from RNAcentral.